CCAUGUAUCUGGAGAUGAAAUGUUCUACAGCAAGAAAAGGACGUGGGAAUCCAAUAAGAAUGACAUCCGCAUCUGUAGAAUGAAGGGCAAACACGAGGAUGAAGCAAACCACUGUGUAUGCCGAAGAUGCAGUAUCAACCCCCUCCUUUCCUGCAAUGUGUUUUUUACAGCAAAUUUACAGCUAGUUUUGUUUCAGAUUGGGAUAGCUUUUAUUAGCAGUCAGGCUGUUUUUGUUUUUAGGCAAACCUGGCAACCCUGGCUAGAGCUUGACUAGAGCUGGAGACCAUUUUUAAAAACUGAACUCGACACACUUAAAGUACACGUUUUUCCAUCGCUGACCACAGAAUCUAGUCUUUGAGAGAUGACUAACGGCUAAGUCAGUCCACUACACUCCAAUAUUUUUGAAAAUAGGCUCAUUUUUCAACUCAUCUGGAGUUAAACAGUCGGGUUUUACCAUUUUCAAAUCCAUUCAGCCGAUCUCCAGGUCUGGCGAUAGCACUUUUAGCUGCAGCUUAGCGUAGAUCAUCCAAUCACGCUCAAACAAAUGACCAAAGAUUUUCAAUGUUUUUCCUAUUUUAACUCUUAUGUAACGAUAUUCUGCAGUGCCUAAAAUAGCCCCGCGGCUUUAUCAGGCCCUGUGUAGUAUCGUUCGAAAACUGUAGAACUCAACUUAUUAACUCUGGGGGAGUUGAAAAAUUGUGUUAUUUUAAUGACCAGUGCAAGUCACGACUAGGCAACAAAAUAAAUCUCAUGAUAAUUUAACUACGUACCAAAACAAACAUGGACGUCAACAGACAGCUGGCUGGUUUUAUUUGCUGCGAGGUUUGUCCAGAAAAAGGAAAAAGUAAAAAAAAAUUCUGAUAAGAUGUUCUUCUUCGCACAGCUGCUUCCCUCAAAGACAACACUGCAGACAUCUGUGUUUUUAUUAAAUUACUAAAACGUUCAAGGUUUGUUUUUCUUAGUUCAGGCUUAGCAUGAUCUGUCCUCUUAUACUGGUGUUGGUAAUAAAUAUCACAGCAGCGUG
Molecule: long non-coding RNA, 1024 nt
Organism: Puntigrus tetrazona (Sumatra barb)
Lineage: Eukaryota; Metazoa; Chordata; Actinopteri; Cypriniformes; Cyprinidae
Exons: 3
Source: RefSeq, a predicted model, not a curated record